CCUCUCUAAUCAACAUAUAUUAAUGACACAGUUUCACAUUUUUAAUCAUUAGAUGCGAUAAUUAUUCUAUUCAAAAUAUAUAGCAGAAUAAAUAUUGAAGAGCACGUUUGCAACCUUUUAUAACAACGUGCAUACCUCAUAAUCAUUUUGUUUAAUAGUUCCUUUAAUAAAAUAAUUUAAAAGAACUAACACGCAUGUUGAGUUAUUCUUAACAUUCGUCCAUAACAUCCAACUAUAAAAAGUUUAUUUAGAAAAAAGAAAAAUAAUCAUCUUUUGAACAAAAUGUUUUACCGCAUUAUUCCUAAUAUAUUAAAAACAAGAGUCAUCUCGAGAGAUUACUUGGUAGUAGAUAUCUUGAUUCAAUGUUUAAUAUUGAUUCAUCCCGUUGGCAACUGUUUUCUCGAUGAUGACCUGCAUAUGAGA
Molecule: long non-coding RNA, 423 nt
Filed under: Mytilus galloprovincialis (Mediterranean mussel)
Lineage: Eukaryota; Metazoa; Mollusca; Bivalvia; Mytilida; Mytilidae
Source: RNAcentral